This 478-nucleotide ribosomal RNA is filed under the name uncultured bacterium. Its description in RNAcentral is "partial 16S ribosomal RNA". It matches the Rfam family "Bacterial small subunit ribosomal RNA", at positions 28 to 523 of the family's 1533-position model. The record is from RNAcentral.
GACGAACGCUGGCGGCGUGCUUAACACAUGCAAGUCGAACGGUAAGGCCCUUCGGGGUACACGAGUGGCGAACGGGUGAGUAACACGUGGGUGAUCUGCCCUGCACUUCGGGAUAAGCCUGGGAAACUGGGUCUCAUACCGGAUAGGACCACUGCCUGCAUGGGUGGUGGUGGAAGGCUUUUGCGGUGUGGGAUGGGCCCGCGGCCUAUCAGCUUGUUGGUGGGGUGAUGGCCUACCAAGGCGACGACGGGUAGCCGGCCUGAGAGGGUGACCGGCCACACUGGGACUGAGAUACGGCCCAGACUCCUACGGGAGGCAGCAGUGGGGAAUAUUGCACAAUGGGCGCAAGCCUGAUGCAGCGACGCCGCGUGAGGGAUGACGGCCUUCGGGUUGUAAACCUCUUUCAGCACCGACGAAGCGCAAGUGACGGUAGGUGCAGAAGAAGGACCGGCCAACUACGUGCCAGCCGCCGCGGUAA